UGUAGCCGGUACCAAUUCUGGGUCAAGACCUAGAUACAUUGAUAUAACUGUCCCGCUAUUGAUGGCGCUUUGUCAUUUUACGCUGGGCAGUGUCGAUAUCCGCCGGGCCGCUCCGACUUUCACGGUCCCUGUGUAUGUGCAUCUCUAAUUGUGAUCUGAGAUUUCGAUUGCAAGACUUCAGCGGCAACGACAGAAAAGGAAAAUAGUGUCAUAACCUGGCCAGUUCAUCACCACCGCAAUGGUGAGAAUAGGAAAGACGCUACUCGUUAUGGCGACAAUGGUUGCCGCCAUAGCAGCAGAGGGCUACUAUUACAACGGACGAAAUGGAGGACAUGGUGGAGGUAAUAGCGGCCAGGGAGGACAUGGCGGUUACGGAUAUAAGCCGUCAUAUUACUACGGCUACCUUCACAAACACACGACGACGACGCACUCGCCAUACGUCUACUUCAAGAGACACACCAUUCCUUACGAAGACCUGUACGAA
Long non-coding RNA from Priapulus caudatus, 484 nucleotides. RefSeq lists it as uncharacterized. The transcript is spliced from 3 exons. The record is from RefSeq and is a predicted model, not a curated record. NCBI's taxonomy places the organism in Eukaryota, Metazoa, Priapulida, Priapulimorpha, Priapulimorphida, Priapulidae.